Molecule: non-coding RNA, 5874 nt
Organism: Phascolarctos cinereus (koala)
Lineage: Eukaryota; Metazoa; Chordata; Mammalia; Diprotodontia; Phascolarctidae
Source: RefSeq, a predicted model, not a curated record
AAGGGGAUUCAUUUAGGUAUUGAUAGAACUACUUUGAAAACAGUUCAGUGGUCUUAUUUUUGAGUGUUUUGUUUUGUUCCCCAAAAAUGUAGGAUUCUUUUUUUUUUUAAAUAUCAAGUGCUGUAAUUUAAAACUGUAAGUUGUUUUUGAAAUCGCCACAAAAUGUAUUGUGGUGGUUUUUUUGUUUGUUUUUUGCUGUAAUUAUCUGUAUAAUGUAAACCUAAUAAUUUUGUCAUGGUUUAAAAUUUUUGCCUAUUUGCUUUACCUUAUGCUGCUGAUUCAUUUUUAACUGAAUUUGUAAGCUUUGUUUUAUCAAAGCAACUAUUAUGUGGUGACUUGCCUAUAUCAUGAAUUAUUUAAGAUUUAUAGUGGGGUUUUUUUUUUAUUAGAAUUUAUUCCAGAUGUUUUGUUCAUGACAAUAUCCUUCAGGGUUAUGUGCUUGUCCUUAGUUUAUUCCCUGGGAAAGAGGUAAGAUACAUCUCUGUAGCCAGUUAUAUUCAGGUAUAACUACUGUAAAUGAUUGAGUUAAACCUCCAAUUCUUGCUAUUUGCCCAUCUUAAUUUAAUCAAAACAAUUAGUAGGAAACCCUGCGUAAUUCCUUGUCAAAGUCACUUCAUCUGAAUGGCAGAAUAAUGCAAAGCAUGUCUUUCUAAGAUGCCAUUUAUUCAGCUUGCCCCCAGAAGAAAAACAAAAAGAUAUGGUGUAUUCUGCAAAAUUAUGGCAUGCUAAAAGCUUAUGAUCACAUCAAGUCAAGAGGAUACUUCAUGAAUAAUACAUUUCAAUGCAAAUAAACAUAUGGUUUACUUCUACUAGUUAUUAGCCUGUUUUUGUACACACAAAAGCUAAUCUAUCUUUCCAGGACACAGAUCCCAGAAAUGUCUUGGAGUCCCUCUAAAUAUAUUUCAUUUUCAUGUAGCCUUGACUCCUGACCAUUUCCGAUUUCCUGUUACUUGGUAUCAGAGUCAGCUGAACAUCUAUUCUUGAUAGGGGAGGGAAGAGGGGAAACUUGUUUCCUGUCCAGUUGUUUCUCUUCAAGUAGAUGUAGCAUGUUCGUAUUAACUGCUAACUGUCGGGAUGUCCCAGAACCUACUUAGAAAUCUGUAGGGCAUGUAGAUUCAGCUGGUUGCCAGGCUUGGGACUACACUGGGACUCUGAAACCUGUCUGAUGCCACAAUGAAGUCACAGAACAAAAGCUUCCAAUGACAAUAUGGGCCAUAAAGUCUUACAGAAGUCAUCUAGGUUCUGCGUAUGGUUGGAUGGAUUUGGCUGCUUGGAGAUUUAAUUGGAUAUCUGGAGAAGUCAAGUUUGGAGAAACCAAUGCCUUGUGACCUUCCAGAAUUCUGGAACUCUGGCUAUUUCUAAGACCAUGGCGUGAAGUGAAUUAUCUUAAUAGCAGGAUGAACCAUCAUGGCCCCUCUGAGUCUGGAGCCACUAGACUGGGUAGCCCGGAGACAAAGGUCCAGAAAACUUUAGCUGGGUACUGUCACCCUUCUCUGGGGACAGUAGAAGAAUCAAGGAGAGGAUAUUGGGGAGGCAUUUUAUAAUUUUCUGUGGAAUUGGACUUAUGUUCCUCUAAAUCAUUGUUUUCAGAUUUAAGUUCUACAAGUAGAAAGACUUAGGGAUAUCAAAGAGCAGGAUCAUGAAAUUAUAGGGCAGCUGUGAUCCCUCUCCCUCCAGUAAAUGUUUGGAACAAAAUAACAUACAUAAAGGAUAGGUCUGAAAUGAGGCAUGGAUGGAAUUCCCGUUCAGUUUCACAGGGUCUUUACCUAAUUGAGAAAUCUUAGAAGGUAGGUCCUAUCUGCUAAAGGCUGUGCUCCUGAUGACCCAAUUAAGUAAGGUUGCUGAUGGAGCACUUUGUACUGAUUCUUACUAGUGCUCCUUGGGCAUUACUCUGUUCUAUCAGGACAAAAGUAGAAUAAGCAGUCAGAACAAGAAAUUCCAUCCCUCUCAAACCGUAAGCCUUUGGGAGAGAGUUGUUCGUGGAGAAGCUUGGGGAAGGAGUCCAGUAUUGAUCCUUGGAUUCCCUGCCAGCAUUUUCAUAAGAUCUCAUGUGGAUAUGGACACUUGGUCAGGCACUGUGUCUGAAACGAAAGGGGUCAGAAACUGUAGACUAGACCUCUAAGAUGCCUGGCAAAAAUCCAUGCUCUACAGCCGUUUGACAUCAAGGAGAAAGAGAGAUUCCUGAAUGGCUCAUGACUACCCAUUUAUUAACCGAAGUGUUUGACAGGACUUCAUAGUCUCCAUUACGUCUGACUUGGAGGGCUUCAGCCAAGGAAUCAAGUGAUAGGAGGAAGAGAAAUAAUCAAAAAGGCCAACCACCAGACACCUGGGCUCACAAGCACCAAAGCAACUGCCCCUGUCACAUCCUGGGGUUCCCCUACAGAAGAAAAGGGAGGCGUCAAUUAUUUACCACGCUGGGAUGGAACAAUGGAGAUCAGUAGCUGGCUAAGAAGAAUGAAGAAGCCAUGGCCGGCAAGCAAAACGAACUGCAGAUUCAACAUCGCCAUCUUUAAGAGCAAAGCACUGAGUACCAUGAGGAGGCCAAAUGUCUACCAUGGGAGGUUUCUCAUUACCAGGAAGAAGCAGAAUAAUAUGGUGGACAGCAAGACAGACUUGGAACUAGGACAAUCUGGAUUCAGGUCCCACCUCUGACACAUACUAGCUGUGUCUGACCCUGUUCUUGCCUAGGGAAAGUCUGGGUCUUCAUGGAAUCAGCAGCUCUGAAGAGAAGCUUGGGAGUAGGGAGCUACACUGAGCUUUCCCCAGGAGUGAAGGAGAUAGGCAUGCUUUGAACUGGGCUCCUACUCCAAUGAACUGAUGCAGAAUGCAGGAAGCAAAGCCAGAAGAACCGCAAAGAUGAUGGUCCCAAUAGUUGUAAAUGAAAACACCACUCUGGACUCAGAAUUGUUCAGUCAUUUUCAUUUGUGUCCAACUCUUCAUGACCCCAUUUGGGGGUCAGAAGAAAGCCCACCAAUCGUGACCCUGGAGAACACAUGAUGGAACACAUUUCUCUCCUCUGCGUGGAGAUGGGGGACCACAGGUAGUGAACUGUUCAUAUAUUCUGCUAGAUUCAGUGGAUUUUGCUUAACUGCAUUCUUUGCUAAAAGGGAGGAUUCUGGGUAUAUAUGUGUACGGGAGAGGUUAGGGUAUAUAUAGAAAUGACUGUAGUGUGAAAAAGGAGGAAUCCAUUAAACUUUAAAAGAAUCACAGAAGCCCAACAGCAAUGACUCUUAAAAAAAAGAAGACUGCAUUUCUAGGAAGCUUGCAAAGUAGAGGGAAGAAUGUUAUGGAAGAACCCCAGUGCUACUCGAAGAAUAUUUUUAUCAGAGUGCAAUUAUUUGACAAAUAUGAAUUUCUUCUGCCUCCCUUUCAACUUCCCCACCCCAACUCCAGUUGAAGGACACUUUUAAUCCAGCCAGGUGCACAAUGCUCCUAAGACAUUCAUCUUUCUGAAGAAAAUAGUAAGACUUUGUCCCUGAAAAUCAGGAGGUAAUCAUGUUUGUUGUCUGAAUGUAUUGGGGCUGAAAGGACCCCUGUACUCUUUCAAAAAACAAAAGUCAGAUGCAAGGCUGAGGACUUAUUUGUACAUUUGAAUUUUGAAAACUUAGAUGUCUCCUGCUUCCUUCCACAUCUCCAAAUAGCCUAGGGUCACUGAUCUUGGCAACAAAGGGAAAAAAUAGAAAACAAAGAACCAUUGUCUCACAUUCAGUAAACAGUAAGGGCUUGCUAAAUGUCUGUAGUUGUACUGGGCCCGAGAAACACCCCUGCUGGACUCAUUCCUUUCUGUUAUGAAGCAUGGAGUAACCUUUAUUUGGGUAGGUUUGAAAGGAAGGAAGUCACAAAACUAAUGGGGCUGAGUGGUCGAUUAAUUCAUCCUGUCUUCAGGAGAGAUGGUCUCUCUUCUUGUUGGUCUGCUUUCUUCAUUUGUUGUCAGUUUACAGACUGGGAGCCCAACCUGGAGCUUCCUGUCUUCCUCAUUUCUAAGGAAAGCUUAUAGUAGCUUCCCAUCUUGGGCUCUCUCUUCAGAGUCCUGACUUCUCAAGGACCCACCAUUUUCCCUAGCUGCCAGAAAACCAACUUAGAAAAACCAACUUGUUAUCCACAGCCCUGUCACAAAGCCCCUCAGGAAAAAGCUCUCCAUCCCUGCUGCCUCCACUUCUCUCCCCUCACCUACUUCUCUAUCUUUUGCGAAUCUGUCCCUCCACCUUAGAUGAAACUGCCAUCUUUAAAGUUACUAAGGAUUUCUUAAUUGCCAUAGCUGAUGGCCUUCUCUUAAUCCCCAUUCUUCCCAACCUAUCUGUUGCAUUUGUCAUGAUUAGUCAUCUUUUCUCUCCUGGAUACUUUCUCCUCUGGGUUUUGUGGCAAUGUUCUCUCUUGGUUUUUCUCCUACUUGUAAGACCACUCCUUCUCAGUCUCCUCUGCUGGUUCAUCAAGGCUAACCUGGGUACUACUUUAUUCUUUCUCUACAAUCUCUCACUUAGUCAUUUACUUCAUCCCUUUCCAUGGGUUUAAUUAUUAUCCUUAUGUAGAUGACUUUCAAAUCUAUGUCUUCUAAUCCUGCAAUGUAAGAGUUGGAAAGGGACCAUGAAGUCCUACCCAUACACAAAAUGAAUCCUUAUUAUAGCAUACCCCAGCUAGUGAUCAUCCAGUCUCUAAGGAAGACAAAUCCACUAUUUCUUGUGGUACCCUAUUCAAUUUUUGGACAGUUCUUAUGGUCAGGAAGUUCUGCCUUCUAUCUAGCUUAAAUCCACCUCUCUGAAAGUCCUGGCUCUGCCCUCUGGAGCCACAUAAAACAAGUAUAUUCCCUCCCUCCAUACACUAGCCCCUUUAAGUAUUUAAAUUAGCAAUCAUAUCUUCCCCCUCCCCAACUGUGCACCAUGAGUCUUCUCUUCUUCGGGAUAAACAUGCCCAAUUCCUUUGACUAAUCCAGCCCUAGCCUCUCUCUUAAGCUCUAGCUGUGCAACUCCACCUGCUUUUUGAUUAUUUUAUUUACUUAUUUUUGUUAUUUUAAAUAGCAUGACCCAUGGGCAUUUCAAGCUCUUCAUGUUCAAAACUCAUGAACUCUCUCCAAAUCCACCUCACUUCUGAACUUACUUUUAUUUGUCCAGGGAACCACCUGACAGUUGCUAUCAUUCACAACCUUGGAUAUACCCUUGAUGGUUCCCUCUCCUUCACCCACCUAUCCAAUCAAUUUCUAAAUCUUACCUUUUCUAUUUCCACAAGCUUUCUUGCAACCAUUAUUCCCUCUAAUCACACGGCCAGUACCCUAUUUCAAGCCCUCAUCACCUCUUGCCUGGUUUACUGCAAUAACCCAAUUAGUCGCCAUGCUUCACAUUUCCCCCCUCUCCAAUCUGCUUUCCACACAGCUAGAAAUGUAAUUUUCCUAAAGUAUAACACCACUUCCCUACUCCAUAAGCUCCAAUGGCUUCCUGUGGCCUCUAGGAUCUUAUAAGGUUCUCUAAUUAACUAUUAAAACCCUUUGCAACCUAGCCCCAAACUACCUUCCCGAUCUCAUUAUGAAACACUCUUUCUACAUUCUCUAGUCCAGUCAAACUGACCUUACUGGUCCUUGUACAUGAUGUUCCAUCAUCUCUCACCUCUGAACCUUUGUACUGUCUGUCCCCCAAGCCUGAAGUGCCUUCACUUUUACCACUUAGGAGCUUUUGUUUCCUUCAAAACUCCAAUUAUGAUACUGCAUGAAACCUUCCCUGGACAAUGACACAUGCGUAGAGCUGCCACCACCAUGACAACAAAGCAAAACCAAAAACCAAUCCUUGUCUUUAUACUUUGAAUAGACUUAUUUAUAUAAAUGUUGUCUUGUCUAACAAACUCUAAGAUCCCUGAGGACAGACACCAUCUCAUUUUUAUCUCUGU